Molecule: ribosomal RNA, 770 nt
Filed under: uncultured bacterium
Lineage: Bacteria
Description: bacterial SSU rRNA
Rfam family: Bacterial small subunit ribosomal RNA
Source: RNAcentral
AGAGUUUGAUCCUGGCUCAGGACGAACGCUGGCGGCGUGCUUAACACAUGCAAGUCGAACGGAAAGGCCCUUCGGGGUACUCGAGUGGCGAACGGGUGAGUAACACGUGGGUGAUCUGCCCUGCACUCUGGGAUAAGCCUGGGAAACUGGGUCUAAUACCGGAUAGGACCGCAUGCUUCAUGGUGUGUGGUGCAAAGCUUUUGCGGUGUGGGAUGAGCCCGCGGCCUAUCAGCUUGUUGGUGGGGUAAUGGCCUACCAAGGCGACGACGGGUAGCCGGCCUGAGAGGGUGACCGGCCACACUGGGACUGAGAUACGGCCCAGACUCCUACGGGAGGCAGCAGUGGGGAAUAUUGCACAAUGGGCGCAAGCCUGAUGCAGCGACGCCGCGUGAGGGAUGACGGCCUUCGGGUUGUAAACCUCUUUCAGUAGGGACGAAGCGAAAGUGACGGUACCUACAGAAGAAGGACCGGCCAACUACGUGCCAGCAGCCGCGGUAAUACGUAGGGUCCGAGCGUUGUCCGGAAUUACUGGGCGUAAAGAGCUCGUAGGUGGUUUGUCGCGUUGUUCGUGAAAACUCACAGCUUAACUGUGGGCGUGCGGGCGAUACGGGCAGACUAGAGUACUGCAGGGGAGACUGGAAUUCCUGGUGUAGCGGUGGAAUGCGCAGAUAUCAGGAGGAACACCGGUGGCGAAGGCGGGUCUCUGGGCAGUAACUGACGCUGAGGAGCGAAAGCGUGGGUAGCGAACAGGAUUAGAUACCCUGGUAGUC